AUGCAUGGUUUUAGUUUCGUUCCACUUUUUCUGCUGCCCAACGUGCUGAUGCUUUACAUUUCUGUAAGAAUAAUAAAUUUUACUGUGAAAACCAGAGCAAAGGGCCUUCCGGGCCAAGGUCGAAACUGGAAGCAAGUCCAUUCGCCUAGAACAAGCACAAUCUUGUGGGCAGAGCAUUGAAGGAGGCCGGCAUACUGGACAAGUUUUCUGUUCUCAAUCAUCCUUCUAGGAAGACAGGUGGAAAGGAGCCAUGGAUUUAUAGCGGGUUGCUCCCUCACAUCAGCCGGGUCUGCACUCAGUAAUAACCUCCCCAGCAGUUUUUGUUCCUCCUCCUACCUCUACCCGUUUGACCGUCCUUCACAGCCCUGAUCUCAUCACUGUCAUUAUACGAGGUGCUUCUUCCCUCUCUCGUUUAUUGCUUACCUCCCCAAAUCAGGGGAGGAACUUUGCAUUUGUGUAUUCAUUCAUUCAUUUAUUCAUUCAUUUGAUAGACAGAAAGAGCAAGAUAAU
Molecule: long non-coding RNA, 510 nt
Filed under: Oryctolagus cuniculus (rabbit)
Lineage: Eukaryota; Metazoa; Chordata; Mammalia; Lagomorpha; Leporidae
Description: lncRNA (ENSOCUG00000033977.1)
Source: RNAcentral